GNCGAACGCUGCGGCGUGCUUAACACAUGCAAGUCGAACGAUGAACCCUUCGGUGGGGAUUAGUGGCGAACGGGUGAGUAACACGUGGGCAAUCUGCCCUUCACUCUGGGACAAGCCCUGGAAACGGGGUCUAAUACCGGAUAACACUCCCACUCUCCUGAGUGGGGGUUAAAAGCUCCGGCGGUGAAGGAUGAGCCCGCGGCCUAUCAGCUUGUUGGUGAGGUAAUGGCUCACCAAGGCGACGACGGGUAGCCGGCCUGAGAGGGCGACCGGCCACACUGGGACUGAGACACGGCCCAGACUCCUACGGGAGGCAGCAGUGGGGAAUAUUGCACAAUGGGCGAAAGCCUGAUGCAGCGACGCCGCGUGAGGGAUGACGGCCUUCGGGUUGUAAACCUCUUUCAGCAGGGAAGAAGCGAAAGUGACGGUACCUGCAGAAGAAGCGCCGGCUAACUACGUGCCAGCAGCCGCGGUAAUAC
RNAcentral lists this ribosomal RNA (479 nucleotides) under soil bacterium S100D1. RNAcentral's name for it is "bacterial SSU rRNA". It matches the Rfam family "Bacterial small subunit ribosomal RNA", at positions 28 to 526 of the family's 1533-position model. The record is from RNAcentral.